CCUUCCCCUAGAGGCGUUGCAGGCUUGGCUCCUGUGUCACGUGUGCAUCAGUAGAUGGCAGAGAGGAGGGAGGCUGUGACUAUGCUCAGUGUUUCUGACCUGUCAACACUGAACGAUUGAUUAACAUU
Arvicanthis niloticus (Nile rat) is the source of this 128-nucleotide small nucleolar RNA. RefSeq annotates it as small nucleolar RNA SNORA17. The record is from RefSeq and is a predicted model, not a curated record. Lineage: Eukaryota; Metazoa; Chordata; Mammalia; Rodentia; Muridae.